CUGAACGACAAGGCGGAACCGUUUCUGUCUGUGUGUACAAAAUGUUUUUCCUUCACCGUUGAUAGUCGAGUCGUGACCGACAAGCGAACUGUGCUUGCAAACUUCCAAGACAGCAGGUACCUCAACCUAGCAGCAGUUAAUGCAUUUCGAAACAAAGAUGUAGCAAAAUGGACUCACACCUGCGUUGCUUUGCUUGUCGGUGGGCGUUGCCUGACGCUUUGCGAUGGCGUUACGUCAUAACAACAACAACCAAUCAGUUGUGUGCUCCGGAAACACGCGGCAUAUGCGGCUAUCAGGUAAAUACGCGGGAAAUACAUCCCACGACCAGAUGCACGCACACCGGAGUAAACAGCUGCCUCCUCUCUCCGCGCUCAUUUGAACGUUUCACGUCAAGGUUCGUGAAGAGCAUUAGCGUGAUUUGAUUGGUUAGCGCCCUGCGCUGGCGCCGUCUGUUCAAACGCGAUGUGAUUGGCUGCCUCCCCGCGCAGCCGUUUGAAAAGUUGAGGCGCGCAUUUAGCGCGAGCGCCGCCUUGUUGUUGUUGUUAGCACCGGUUAGCACCUGGAGCUAGCUAGCUAGCUAGCUAGCUAGCAGCGAGCGAGCUGAGUCACUCUGACAAGACUCGAAGCUUUUCCCAAAGAAAGAGAGUGAAGACGACAGGUGAAGGUGAAACGAGAGGAGAUGGAGUUUUAUCUCCCGUGUGGUUGAAGCAGCAGAGGAGUCAGGACGUGAGCACAAACUCGGGAACAAGGAUCCUUGGCAAUGGCUCAGAGGCAAAAUCCUAUAAUUAGAACACAGUUCACUCGGUUAGCAGGUAAUUUACCUUUAGGGGGAGAAGUCUAAUUAUUGUCUUUGAAAAGCUAAUUUAGCGUCAAACACUUCAGGUGUCUUUUCCCCUCUCUUCAGCAAAUGGAAGGUUUCCUGGAGCACCGGUGCCUCUGAGCCAUCUUUAGCGCCUGGCGCUGUUUCAUGUUUACACGGCUGAUUCCUAAAGACGAAAUUAGGAGCAAUAAGAGCAGAGCAAACCACCGUCUCCCUUUUGUUGGAUCCAGCAGCUGUUCCAGGUUGCCGGUGCCUGUCCACACCACUGUGAUGACGGAGAGAGAAAACAGCCCUGAUGUACGAUUCCUGGUCUGUCACGACAGGAUGUUUGAAGGAAAAUCUCGCAUUGUGCUGGAGCGGCCACUGACUGCCUCCCAUCAAGGACAGAGUCACCUUCCUCCGGAGGAGAAUCCAGUCCUCUGGGAGUCACUGUGGCUUGUGAGUCUACCGCCAGAACUAGGUCCUCUUCAAACUGUCAAUAACGUCUUGUGAGAAAAGGAUCCUCGGUGAUGGCUGAUGGAUACGCUCACACCUCCGAGAGAAGUGUGCCUGAAGCUCUCAGACACUGUGUCAGUAUUGAAAUGUUUCUGGGCUGUCACAUCUCACCACCUCCUUAGCCCUAAUGUGAUCGAUUGGGACCGACGCAGAGCCAUAACGUGCUCCUCUACAGAGCACUUUCAUAGUAACAUUUCAGGCCCAGUUGAACCUUACCUCCCCUGGGCCAUUAAAUGAAAAACUGGACCUCAAGUGGAUCUCUGAGUCUGGUCCAUCCCUGAGCUUACAGGCAAGUUAAUGACAGAAAUUGUACAUGUCAGUACUACCAGAGAGCCCAAGGAUUAAAUAAUGUGCAUGUAAUAGUGAGAUCUGAGGUCCUGGCCUGGAUGUGCUAAGAACAUUUGCAGUACCACUUUAAUGACCAAAAGGAAAGAGCCGAGUCUGAGACUCCUGCCUGGGAGGACAUGUCAGGCCUUUCAUGGGAACCAUUUUUAAUUGCAACCAAAAAAUGUCUAUUAGUGAAGUCCCUUAGGCAGAUACUGUAUCCAUUAUAGAGGUCAAACUUUCAGGUUGGAAAAUAUCAUUAGAUAGAUUUUAUCAAUAUAUCAUUAUUGUUAUUAUUAUCAUUUAACUACUUAUGUACUCGUACUAUACUAUUGUUCAGCAUUUUUCAGCCCAAAUAUUUGUGUAGUUGUUGCACUGCAGUCGUUUAUCUGACUAACCUCCUGAAAGCUUCUUCGAACUUAUUGCAGAAUAUAGAAUGAACUGUUUAUAAUCCAUCAUGGUGUAAUUUGUUUAUUUGUGUAUUAAUAGUUUGUCACAUUUCUUUUUAACCCAUAUCAUUCCAUUUUAUGUUCAGUCACCACAUCUUUUAAGGGGUAGUUUUAAAUCGCUUUGUCUUAUUUUAUUUUUUUAAAGUAACAUGUAGAAGUUAUCACACUCACACUCACCAAAUGUAGCUAAAAUCCGCUAGAGACAAAUGCUGUUGUUUUACGUUUUCAUGUGAGAUUUCUCCAACACUAUUAAAAACACUGAACGGUAAAACAAAUAUCAUUAAAUUCCACGAAUUUGAUUUGAAUUCUCACAUAGAUCUUGUUAUUACAUCCAUUUACGACAGACUAACUGGAACACACAAGAUGGCAUUAGCCCUGACAAUGGAAGCAGAUGGCCCGCGGGGCACGUUUGCCAGAUUUACGACUUAGAAAGAACUAACACGCACAAAUAAAUUUGGACAGUGUUGCUUCAACAUCUGAGAACACUGUUUAACUCAUCCCAUCUCAGGAAGUUUUCACACUUCACACUUCAUUAACCUCUGGGGCUCAGAUUCCCUGGGAAGUCGGGGAGGGAGAAUGCUUGACUUUUUCUUAUAAAUCACCACCAGGCAGUGACAACAUUUACAUGCACACAAUCUUCCAGAUAAUAGCUGAUAUUCUGGUUGAGGUGCCGUUUAUAUGCGCUUUCACGUCUCGAUCACAAAUAUCCAUGCACGUGUGCAUAAACAAAAAAUUCCAAACAGUGCUGCCAAAGGCGAGCUCGCACUAAUCGCAAAAAACAACAAUAAUUGGGAUGAGGUGAAGUUUGCUUGUCUGUGUCCCAGGUUAAACUGACACAUGCCAACUUCCAAAGCGUUUGUUUACACAGUAGUGUAACACUCGCAUGGAUCCCUGUUAAAUUGAUUUUCAUUUUUUGAGCACUGAUGGAACUGUGUACAGGCAGCUUUUGGGGCAACAAAACUCAACAGUAUCUAUUACAGAUAUGAAGUUUAGUUUGCCAAUAAAUGAAAAGAAUAUCAUGGGUAUCACAGUUAAAAUGUCAGUUUUCAUAGGGAAAAACAACCAACACCUUUCCUGUUUAUGUUCAUGUUAAGUUGAAUGGCUUUUUGCAGGUGUUAAUUAAAAAACAACAUCACAGAUCCACUACAUUCAUGUUAAUUGAAAAACAAGAUCACAGAUCCAACUAUUAAAGGUUGCAAUUUAAGACAGCUGAAAGCAAUAACACAGAAACGAUUGUAUCUGUACCUGAACGUAACUUCAACAUUUCAUAUUGAACUACAGCCCAGUCCUAAUAUGCCGUACCUGCGGGAUUGGCUGAAGGUUAAGUUGUGGAUAAAAAUAGCUUCCCUCUCAGCCGAGCAGAGCACCACACUGGAUAAAAGUCACAAUACCUCUUGCACUGACACCGAGCAUUGACACUAGAUGUCCCGUGGCAUCACUCAAGGAAUUUAGUAAAUUUUUAACAGUUUCUGCAAACCCCUGUUAUGUCCACUGGAAGUAAACUGUGCACUGCAGAUACAUUCAAUAUGAACGCAUGUCUUGGGAAUAGUAGGCUAGUUAUACUGACUGUUGCCCUAAACUGUUUCCAUAUCCCCAUAUAAGUGGAAAAUGUACAAACAAAAGUAUGUAACAGUAUACAAACAACAAAAGACUCGCUCUCAGCAGGGACAGCAUAAAACAUC
RNAcentral lists this long non-coding RNA (3770 nucleotides) under Scophthalmus maximus (turbot). RNAcentral's name for it is "lncRNA (ENSSMAG00000027998.1)". The record is from RNAcentral. Lineage: Eukaryota; Metazoa; Chordata; Actinopteri; Pleuronectiformes; Scophthalmidae.